Molecule: long non-coding RNA, 1478 nt
Filed under: Medicago truncatula (barrel medic)
Lineage: Eukaryota; Viridiplantae; Streptophyta; Magnoliopsida; Fabales; Fabaceae
Description: lncRNA gene31345
Source: RNAcentral
CUUAUUAAAGGGUCAAAUAUAAAAUCUUAAUUCACGUUGAUAUAGAAAAUUGAUCUGUAUUAACCAAGUUUUUGGGCUCCAGUGGCAAGGAGCUCCUUCCAAGGACGUACUCGGGGAAUACCGGGUUCGAUUCCCAGGGGGAACAACGCUUGGCCAGUGCGCAUGCCUCUACGAACGAGCCGGAUUAGUCAUUUACCAUUGGUGGGUCAGAAACCGGUGCGAAAGAAAGAAAGAAAAAAAAAGGCUAAACUGCACUUAUUAAAUGUUUCAAAUGUUAUUCAAUUUUGUUUUAGAAUUAUAUAUUUUAUCUAACUUCUUUAAACUUUUAUUAUAGUACUCAUUAUGUCGAACCUUACAAAACAUGAUUUUUAGGCUCUUGAUAUUUCGGAUGGCUUCGUUUCUAUAUGCCGAAAUUCAUUUAAAUGCCAAAGGUCAUGGAGAUACUAUUAAAGAAAGAAACAUAACAUCUGAUCAACAAAAUGCAAAAACCAUGAAAUUCCUUCGUCGCCAUCUUCAUGAUGAUCUGAAAAAUGAAUACCUUACCCUAAAAUAUCCACAAGUUCUUUGUAAUAGUUUAAAAGAAAGAUGUGAACAUCAAAAAACCAUCAUCCUCCCAAAAGCUCGUUAUGAAUGGACGCAUAUGCGUUUACAAGACUUUAAAUUUGUAACUGCAUAUAACUCUAUUGUAUUUAGAAUUACGUCUCAAUUGAAAUUGUGUGGAGAAAAAGUGACCGAAGAAGAUAUGAUGGCAAAAUAUAUUCUCCACUUUUCAUGCAUCUAAUGUGCUCCUGCCUCAGCAAUAUUGCGAAAAAUGAUUUAAAAAAUAUUCUGACUUGAUAUCCUACCUUCAUGUAGCAGAACAAAAUAACGAGAUUUUGACGAAAAAUUAUGAAGCUCGUCGCGCUGAUAGUGCUCCAUUCCAAUAAGUGAAUGUAGCAACACAUGAUAACAAUGGGAAAACUCAUGGAUGUGGCCAUGGUCAAGGUCGUGGUCGUGGGAAAGUUCAGGGUCUUGGACGUGGUCUUAAUCAUAAUCGUUGUGGAGAUCACAAAAACAUUUUUUUCACCAGGAGUGGAAAAAUGUUGGUGGAAAAAUGUUGGAAAGAAUGAAAAGCUGGUUAAAGUAGCAAAAAUAAUGAGAAUAUUUGCUAUCGGUGCGAAGGAAAAGGCCAUUGGAGUUGUACUUGUUGUUUACCAUGGCAUCUUGUUGAUCUUUACCAUCAAUCACUUUAAGAUAAAGAUAAAAAGGCUCAGACUCAUUUUGCAUAUGAAGAUGGUGGUAAUGAUUAUGUAAUAUGAAUGUUACCCACUUAGACGUUGUUGAUUUCUUUGCUAAUCCUAUGGAAAGAUUGAUCAUCUCACUGGAGAUGGAAGUUUUAAAAAAUGGAACCCUAGAUAUAAAUAAGGGUCUUGUUAACGAGUGCUACCGGCGCACUCUUUAAACAUUUUAAAAUUAGUAAUUAUACUUUAAAAAAGUCA